This 253-nucleotide ribosomal RNA is filed under the name uncultured bacterium. RNAcentral describes it as "partial 16S ribosomal RNA". It matches the Rfam family "Bacterial small subunit ribosomal RNA", at positions 524 to 776 of the family's 1533-position model. The record is from RNAcentral.
UACGUAGGGGGCAAGCGUUGUCCGGAAUCAUUGGGCGUAAAGCGCGCGUAGGCGGCCCGGUAAGUCCGUUGUGAAAGUCAAAGGCUCAACCUUUGAAAGCCGAUGGAUACUGCCGGGCUGGAGUCCGGAAGAGGCGAGUGGAAUUCCUGGUGUAGCGGUGGAAUGCGCAGAUAUCAGGAGGAACACCAACGGCGAAGGCAGCUCGCUGGGACGGUACUGACGCUGAGACGCGAAAGCGUGGGGAGCGAACAGG